AAAUGAAUAGACGGGGGCCCGCACAAGCAGCGGAGCAUGUGGUUUAAUUCGAAGCAACGCGAAGAACCUUACCAAGGCUUGACAUCCCUUGCCAUCUUAGGAAACUAAGAGUUCCCUUCGGGGACAAGGAGACAGGUGGUGCAUGGUUGUCGUCAGCUCGUGUCGUGAGAUGUUGGGUUAAGUCCCGCAACGAGCGCAACCCCUGUGUACAGUUACCAGUAUUAAGUUAGGGACUCUGUACAGACUGCCGUGGACAACACGGAGGAAGGUGGGGACGACGUCAAAUCAUCAUGCCCCUUAUGUCUUGGGCUACACACGUGCUACAAUGGUCGCAACAGAGGGCAGCGAAAUGGCAACAUGGAGCGAAUCUCAGAAAAGCGAUCUCAGUUCGGAUUGUGGGCUGCAACCCGCCCACAUGAAGAUGGAGUUGCUAGUAAUCGCGAAUCAGCAUGUCGCGGUGAAUGCGUUCCCGGGCCUUGUACACACCGCCCGU
This 493-nucleotide ribosomal RNA is filed under the name uncultured bacterium. RNAcentral describes it as "bacterial SSU rRNA". It matches the Rfam family "Bacterial small subunit ribosomal RNA", at positions 903 to 1397 of the family's 1533-position model. The record is from RNAcentral.